This 287-nucleotide small RNA is filed under the name Syntrophomonas zehnderi. RNAcentral's name for it is "T-box sequence". It matches the Rfam family "T-box leader". From Rfam's summary of the family: Uncharged tRNA acts as the effector for transcription antitermination of genes in the T-box leader family. T-boxes are found upstream of many aminoacyl-tRNA synthetase genes and some amino acid biosynthetic genes usually in Gram-positive bacteria. The record is from RNAcentral. Lineage: Bacteria; Bacillati; Bacillota; Clostridia; Eubacteriales; Syntrophomonadaceae.
AAAGGGGCUUUGAUCCGGAGUAGUAAACAAUUUCCAGGUGUAAGAGAGCUGUCGUCUGGUGCAAGGCAGCAUAUAUUGUUGAACUCGCCGGGGAGCAUUGCAGGUGAAAUGAUUAGCCUGUGACGGGACAACCGUUAUCUGUUCAAGAGGACAAGUCGUGGGGCUAUAGCGAAGUUGGGAUCGCGCCUGAAUGGCAUUCAGGAGGCCGUGGGUUCGAGUCCCACUAGCUCCACCAUAAUUAAUUUGUCAAUAAGGGUGGUACCGCGGGAACAGCUCUCGUCCCUGUA